AAACAAGAAAAUGCACCAUGAGAGUGAAGAACGAACAAAGAUUGACCAUGACAAAAUUCAGAAUCAUGUAGUGUCUUCCAACAGAAAGAGAGUUCAAUGUGCUGAACCAA
Long non-coding RNA from Panicum virgatum (switchgrass), 110 nucleotides. RefSeq lists it as uncharacterized. NCBI's taxonomy places the organism in Eukaryota, Viridiplantae, Streptophyta, Magnoliopsida, Poales, Poaceae. The transcript has 3 exons. The record is from RefSeq and is a predicted model, not a curated record.